Armillaria novae-zelandiae is the source of this 97-nucleotide non-coding RNA. NCBI's taxonomy places the organism in Eukaryota, Fungi, Basidiomycota, Agaricomycetes, Agaricales, Physalacriaceae. The record is from the annotation of a GenBank genome assembly.
GCUUCAAUGGGGUAGUGGUAACCUGGGUCGUUGCCAUCUCUGAAUGACGAAUGAGUUGUUUAUCGACCCGCCGGGGGUUCGAUUCCCUAUUGAUGCA